Molecule: ribosomal RNA, 910 nt
Filed under: Acinetobacter sp. SW1
Lineage: Bacteria; Pseudomonadati; Pseudomonadota; Gammaproteobacteria; Moraxellales; Moraxellaceae
Description: bacterial SSU rRNA
Rfam family: Bacterial small subunit ribosomal RNA
Source: RNAcentral
AGUCGAGCGGAUGAAGGUAGCUUGCUACUGGAUUCAGCGGCGGACGGGUGAGUAAUGCUUAGGAAUCUGCCUAUUAGUGGGGGACAACGUUCCGAAAGGGGCGCUAAUACCGCAUACGUCCUACGGGAGAAAGCAGGGGACCUUCGGGCCUUGCGCUAAUAGAUGAGCCUAAGUCGGAUUAGCUAGUUGGUAGGGUAAAGGCCUACCAAGGCGACGAUCUGUAGCGGGUCUGAGAGGAUGAUCCGCCACACUGGGACUGAGACACGGCCCAGACUCCUACGGGAGGCAGCAGUGGGGAAUAUUGGACAAUGGGGGGAACCCUGAUCCAGCCAUGCCGCGUGUGUGAAGAAGGCCUUUUGGUUGUAAAGCACUUUAAGCGAGGAGGAGGCUACCUAGAUUAAUACUUUAGGAUAGUGGACGUUACUCGCAGAAUAAGCACCGGCUAACUCUGUGCCAGCAGCCGCGGUAAUACAGAGGGUGCGAGCGUUAAUCGGAUUUACUGGGCGUAAAGCGUGCGUAGGCGGCCAAUUAAGUCAAAUGUGAAAUCCCCGAGCUUAACUUGGGAAUUGCAUUCGAUACUGGUUGGCUAGAGUAUGGGAGAGGAUGGUAGAAUUCCAGGUGUAGCGGUGAAAUGCGUAGAGAUCUGGAGGAAUACCGAUGGCGAAGGCAGCCAUCUGGCCUAAUACUGACGCUGAGGUACGAAAGCAUGGGGAGCAAACAGGAUUAGAUACCCUGGUAGUCCAUGCCGUAAACGAUGUCUACUAGCCGUUGGGGCCCUUGAGGCUUUAGUGGCGCAGCUAACGCGAUAAGUAGACCGCCUGGGGAGUACGGUCGCAAGACUAAAACUCAAUGAAUUGACGGGGGCCCGCACAAGCGGUGGAGCAUGUGGUUUAAUUCGAUGCAACGCGAA